GCACUUCCCUGGCAGGGGAGGCUUCAUGAUCAAGAAGGUGGUUUUCACAGGGUGAAGCUUGUCUGUUACACUCCAGAUGUGUUCACCUCUGUGAUCUCCCCAGAUGCAGGAAGUUCCACUGCAUAACUUGUGGUGGUGGGGACUCUGUUUGUGCUCUCCUUU
This is a small nuclear RNA of Acomys russatus (golden spiny mouse), 162 nucleotides long. RefSeq annotates it as U1 spliceosomal RNA. The record is from RefSeq and is a predicted model, not a curated record. The transcript has a single exon. Lineage: Eukaryota; Metazoa; Chordata; Mammalia; Rodentia; Muridae.